Molecule: ribosomal RNA, 614 nt
Filed under: uncultured bacterium
Lineage: Bacteria
Description: bacterial SSU rRNA
Rfam family: Bacterial small subunit ribosomal RNA
Source: RNAcentral
UGAACGCUGGCGGCGGCCUACACAUGCAAGUCGAGCGGUAACAGGUGUAGCAAUACAUGCUGACGAGCGGCGAACGGGUGAGUAAUGCUUCGGAAUCUACCCUAUGGUGGGGAAUAACCAGCCGAAAGGUUGGCUAAUACCGCAUACGUCCUACGGGAGAAAGCAGGGGAUCGUAAGACCUUGCGCCGAUGGAUGAGCCGAAGUCGGAUUAGCUAGUUGGUGAGGUAACGGCUCACCAAGGCGACGAUCCGUAGCUGGUCUGAGAGGACGACCAGCCACACUGGGACUGAGACACGGCCCAGACUCCUACGGGAGGCAGCAGUGGGGAAUAUUGGACAAUGGGGGCAACCCUGAUCCAGCGACGCCGCGUGUGUGAAGAAGGCCUGCGGGUUGUAAAGCACUUUUAGUGGGGAUGAAAAGUGCAGAGCUAAUACCUCUGCAUCUUGACCUAACCCACAGAAAAAGCACCGGCUAACUCUGUGCCAGCAGCCGCGGUAAUACAGAGGGUGCGAGCGUUAAUCGGAAUUACUGGGCGUAAAGCGUGCGUAGACGGUUAUGUAAGUCGGGUGUGAAAGCCCCGGGCUCAACCUGGGAAUGGCAUUCGAGACUGCGUA